RNAcentral lists this ribosomal RNA (253 nucleotides) under uncultured bacterium. Its description in RNAcentral is "partial 16S ribosomal RNA". It matches the Rfam family "Bacterial small subunit ribosomal RNA", at positions 524 to 776 of the family's 1533-position model. The record is from RNAcentral.
UACAGAGGGUGCGAGCGUUAAUCGGAACUACUGGGCGUAAAGCGCACGUAGGUGGCGACGUAAGUCGGGUGUGAAAGCCCCGGGCUCAACCUGGGAAUUGCAUUCGAGACUGCAUUGCUGGAGUACGGAAGAGGAGGGCGGAAUUCCCGGUGUAGCGGUGAAAUGCGUAGAUAUCGGGAGGAACAUCAGUGGCGAAGGCGGCCCUCUGGUCCAGUACUGACACUCAAGUGCGAAAGCGUGGGGAGCAAACAGG